CAAGUCGAGCGGAAACGAAUCUUCGGAUGGGCGUCGAGCGGCGGACGGGUGAGUAAUGCUAGGAAUCUGCCUUUUGUGGAGGAUAACCCGGGGAAACUCGGGCUAAUACUGCAUAAUCUCUACGGAGCAAAGCGGGGCUCUUCUACCUCGCGCAGAAGGAUGAGCCUAGGUCUGAUUAGCUUGUUGGUGGGGUAACGGCCUACCAAGGCGACGAUCAGUAGCUGGUCUGAGAGGAUGAUCAGCCACACCGGGACUGAGACACGGCCCGAACUCCUACGGGAGCAGCAGUGGGGAAUAUUGGACAAUGGGCGAAAGCCUGAUCCAGCCAUGCCGCGUGUGUGAAGAAGGCCUUAGGGUGUAAAGCACCUUAAGCAGGAAAGAAAAGCGCCGGAUUAAUACUCCGAGCGUAUUGACGGUACCUGCAGAAUAAGCACCGGCUAACUCCGUGCCAGCAGCCGCGGUAAUACGGAGGGUGCAGGCGUUAAUCGGAAUUACUGGGCGUAAAGCGUGCGUAGGCGGUUGCGUGUGUCGGAUGUGAAAGCCCCGGGCUCAACCUGGGAAUUGCAUUCGAAACUGCGUGACUAGAAU
RNAcentral lists this ribosomal RNA (588 nucleotides) under obligately oligotrophic bacterium POI-13. RNAcentral's name for it is "bacterial SSU rRNA". It matches the Rfam family "Bacterial small subunit ribosomal RNA", at positions 58 to 647 of the family's 1533-position model. The record is from RNAcentral.